Molecule: ribosomal RNA, 670 nt
Filed under: uncultured organism
Description: bacterial SSU rRNA
Rfam family: Bacterial small subunit ribosomal RNA
Source: RNAcentral
GGCUUAGAGUUUGAUCAUGGCUCAGGAUGAACGCUGGCGGCGUGCCUAACACAUGCAAGUCGAACGAAGCAGUUUUGGUGAAGUUUUCGGAUGGAACCGGAAUUGACUGAGUGGCGGACGGGUGAGUAACGCGUGGGUAACCUGCCUCACACAGGGGGAUAACAGUUAGAAAUGACUGCUAAUACCGCAUAAGCGCACGGGACCGCAUGGUCCAGUGUGAAAAGCUUUUACGGUGUGAGAUGGACCCGCGUCUGAUUAGGUAGUUGGUGAGGUAACGGCCCACCAAGCCGACGAUCAGUAGCCGACCUGAGAGGGUGACCGGCCACAUUGGGACUGAGACACGGCCCAAACUCCUACGGGAGGCAGCAGUGGGGGAUAUUGCACAAUGGGGGAAACCCUGAUGCAGCGACGCCGCGUGAGUGAAGAAGUAUUUCGGUAUGUAAAGCUCUAUCAGCAGGGACGAAAAUGACGGUACCUGAGUAAGAAGCCCCGGCUAACUACGUGCCAGCAGCCGCGGUAAUACGUAGGGGGCAAGCGUUAUCCGGAUUUACUGGGUGUAAAGGGAGCGUAGACGGCGAAGCAAGUCUGAAGUGAAAGCCCGGGGCUCAACCGCGGGACUGCUUUGGAAACUGUUUUGCUGGAGUGCUGGAGAGGCAGAUGGAAUUAAGCC